CAGCAGCCGCGGGAAUACGAAGGUCCCGAGCGUUGUUCGGAAUCACUGGGCGUAGAGGGAGCGUAGGCGGCGUGGUAAGUCAGAUGUGAAAUCCCGGGGCUCAACCCCGGAACUGCAUCCGAUACUGCCAUGCUAGAGGAUUGGAGAGGUAGCUGGAAUUCUUGGUGUAGCAGUGAAAUGCGUGGAGAUCAAGAGGAACACUCGUGGCGAAAGCGAGCUACUGGACAAUAACUGACGCUGAGGCUCGAAGGCCAGGGUAGCGAAAGGGAUUAGAUACCCGCGUAGUCCCUGUCUCUUAUAC
RNAcentral lists this ribosomal RNA (301 nucleotides) under uncultured bacterium. RNAcentral's name for it is "partial 16S ribosomal RNA". It matches the Rfam family "Bacterial small subunit ribosomal RNA", at positions 509 to 807 of the family's 1533-position model. The record is from RNAcentral.